AAUCAACGCUGGCGGCGUGCCUCAGACAUGCAAGUCGAACGCGAAAUUUCCCUUCGGGGAGAAAGUAGAGUGGCGCACGGGUGAGUAACACGUAGGUAAUUUGCCUUUGGGUGGGGAAGUAACUCAGGGAAACUUGAGCUAAUACCGCAUAAUGCAGCGGCUCGACAUCGAGACAGUUGUUAAAGCGGGGGAGUUGGAGCAAUCCGACCUCG
This 212-nucleotide ribosomal RNA is filed under the name uncultured bacterium. Its description in RNAcentral is "partial 16S ribosomal RNA". It matches the Rfam family "Bacterial small subunit ribosomal RNA", at positions 32 to 221 of the family's 1533-position model. The record is from RNAcentral.